Molecule: long non-coding RNA, 186 nt
Organism: Mesocricetus auratus (golden hamster)
Lineage: Eukaryota; Metazoa; Chordata; Mammalia; Rodentia; Cricetidae
Exons: 2
Source: RefSeq, a predicted model, not a curated record
CUUCAACGUGCGUCAGAAAAGGGGCUGUUUGUAAAACCCAGAUCAGGCUUCCCUGGCUUUGAACCCUGUGAGCUGAAGGCAAAACCCUGAAGACUACCUGAAGAAGGAGAACAUGCCUUUACAACAUGACUUGAAUGCUGACCACAUUGUGUUGCUACCAAAUAUAUGUUGGCCCAUUAAAUUCUU